Molecule: transfer RNA, 74 nt
Filed under: Suillus plorans
Lineage: Eukaryota; Fungi; Basidiomycota; Agaricomycetes; Boletales; Suillaceae
Description: tRNA-Gln
Source: RNAcentral
GACUGGACGGUCUAGUGGUUAAGAUGUCCCCCCCUGGAGUUGGGAAGGACUAGAUUCAAAUCCUUGUCCUGCCA